CUGGCUCAGGACGACGCUGGCGGCGUGCCUAAUACAUGCAAGUCGAACGGUCUUUCUAUGGAAGCUUGCUUCCACUGAGAAGAUAGUGGCGAACGGGUGAGUAACACGUGGGUAACCUGCCCAUAAGAGGGGGGAUAACAUCCGGAAACGGGUGCUAAUACCGCAUAGUUUUCUUGAUCGCAUGAUCGGGAAAGGAAAGACGGCCUUUGUGCUGUCGCUUAUGGAUGGACCCGCGGCGUAUUAGUUAGUUGGUGAGGUAACGGCUCACCAAGACGAUGAUACGUAGCCGACCUGAGAGGUGAUCGGCCACAUUGGGACUGAGACACGGCCCAAACUCCUACGGGAGGCAGCAGUAGGGAAUCUUCCGCAAUGGACGAAAGUCUGACGGAGCAACGCCGCGUGAGUGAAGAAAAGGUUUUCGGAUCGUAAAACUCUGUUGUCAGAGAAGAACAAGUUGGAGAGUAACUGCUCCAGCCUUGACGGUAUCUGACCAGAAAGCCACGGCUAACUACGUGCCAGCAGCCGC
This 526-nucleotide ribosomal RNA is filed under the name uncultured bacterium. Its description in RNAcentral is "bacterial SSU rRNA". It matches the Rfam family "Bacterial small subunit ribosomal RNA", at positions 19 to 518 of the family's 1533-position model. The record is from RNAcentral.